Molecule: ribosomal RNA, 253 nt
Filed under: uncultured bacterium
Lineage: Bacteria
Description: partial 16S ribosomal RNA
Rfam family: Bacterial small subunit ribosomal RNA
Source: RNAcentral
UACAGAGACUGCAAGCGUUAUUCGGAUUCACUGGGCGUAAAGGGUGCGCAGGCGGCCAAGUGUGUUAGGCGUGAAAGCCUGGGGCUUAACCCCAGAAUUGCACCUAAAACUACAUGGCUAGAGCAUUGGAGAGGGUAGCGGAAUUCGCGGUGUAGCAGUGAAAUGCGUAGAUAUCGUGAGGAACACCAGAGGCGAAGGCGGCUACCUGGACAAUUGCUGACGCUCAGGCACGAAAGCGUGGGGAGCAAAAGGG